GACGAACGCUGGCGGCGUGCUUAACACAUGCAAGUCGAACGGAAAGGCCUCUUUCGGGGGGUACUCGAGUGGCGCACGGGUGAGUAACACGUGAGUAACCUGCCCUUGACUUUGGGGUAACUUCAGGAAACUGUGGCUAAUACCGGAUAGGAGCUCCUGCUGCAUGGUGUGGGUUGGAAAGUUUCGGCGGGUGGGGAGGGACUCGCGGCUUAUCAGCUUGUUGGUGGGGUAGUGGGUUACCAAGGGUUUGUCGGGUAGGCGGCCUGAGAGGGUGACCGGCCACAUUGGGACUGGGAUACGGCCCAGACUCCUACGGGAGGCAGCAGUGGGGAAUAUUGCACAAUGGGUGGAAGCCCGAUGCAGCAACGCCGGGGGCGGGAUGACGGCCUUCGGGUUGUAAACCGCGUUCGCUCAUGACGAAGCUUUGUGUGACGGUAGUGGGUAAAGAAGCACCGGCUAACUACGUG
Molecule: ribosomal RNA, 467 nt
Filed under: uncultured bacterium
Lineage: Bacteria
Description: partial 16S ribosomal RNA
Rfam family: Bacterial small subunit ribosomal RNA
Source: RNAcentral